GAGGGUGGAUCCCAAGGUGGUCUCUCGUUUUCCCCUAGCCCCCAGUCAAUACGCGGUGGCGGACGGCACGCGGGUAGAAGGGGGAGAGCGGCGGCGUUAGCGGCAGCCUACGGAGCUUACUCCUAGGUCUCGACGAACGCUUGUCCGCUGGUUUAUUCGUCGAGGGGGAAACCCUCGGCGUCAUGGGUUAGCUUCGUCGUUCUCGUCGUCGAGAAAACCCUCGCCGCUAGGCGUUAGUUCGUCGAGACGUCGGCCGUUAGGUUCGUUAGUUCGCCGAGGAGGGGCUCGGCGUCAGCCUUUAGCUUCGUUAGUUCGCCGAGGAGAGACUCGGCGUCAGCCUUUAGCUUCGCCGAGGGGAAAAAUCACCGAUUAGGCCUUAGUUUCGUCAGGAAAGAAAGCUUAAGUCAGAGGCUCAGAGGUAACCACCGCUCCUGGAUCUCCGAUAUAUACAUUUAUAGACCGGACCACCUGUCGGAUCUGUAGUCAUGGGCGGUUAAAGUUCUCCUCUGCUCGUUGUUGAGGGAUUUGUAGUCAAAAGCCUCACUGGUCGUUGAGCCCGCUACCGGUUCAGAACAGCAGCCGCUGCCCGACGGUUUAACUUACGAUUCCCAUUCUUUCAACUAUCCGAGUCGCGUGACGUUCUUGGUUGUAGGAGAGCUCUGCCACCUGAGUCGAGACGCGGUUCGACAGAGCCGAAUAUUAUUCGCGAGACCUAAAGGACGGUUUCCCACACAGCACGUGGCCGUAUAGACUGCUAUUUAACCAGGCGUAGUUACGUCGACACAAAGUUCGCUGUCUAUCGUAUAACUGUGCGUCUUUAGGACCUCUCGUGUGCUAGGCGGAAGACAGGUGUUGCAAGAUGAACUCUCUACUACAGGGGUAUAGGUAACCCGCACGACAACCGGUACGGUACCGCCGUGUGAACCAGCUCUCACGGUUUAAGUCACAAUACUGUCCCUUCAUACUCUAGUCACUGUACCGACUCUUACUAGACUAGUGGAAACGCUGUUUAAAGUACAACAAGAAACUACGGACAGGUUCACGUAAACCACCAGAGUGAUGGGAGCUGGAUCUCUUAAACUCUAAACCACUUAGUCUGUAUAGGUUGCAGGAGUAGUGAACGUUCACGAACUCCGUAGACGCAAACAUGUUAACACUGAGACCACAAACGUCGUGCGACGUUCAACUUGUGCGAGCAGAGUCCCUCGAAUCAUAUCAGGUUACAUACCAACUUGCUCAACUUGACUUCACCGAGGGAGUUGAGUGUUGCUACCAGAAACUUCCAACCGGUGUUAAGGUUCUAGGUGACAAGUAACCAGUACAGGGUAACGACCUCCAACAUUCGGAGUGUUUAGAACGGGAAGCAAUACUGUUCUGCCACAAGAAUUCACUCAAAGAAUCGCCAUGGAGAUAUGCUCUAGGCUUCAACCGUAAAUUAAGACUUUUCUAAACCCACGUCGGUCUUAAAGGCUGCGGUACAGAUCGUAGACAAAAGUCGGUUGAUUCCAAACACUUAAAUGAAGUAGAAGGACUUCCCGUACUAGAGUGAACCUGUUACAUAUAAGAACUUCGACGUGGGAAUGACUUCCUCGAUAUGUACUACCAUACCCUAGUACGCACGUUAUACCUUUAUCUACUCUGCUUCUCCUUUCUUCUUCGUAUAUCACUCCUGUUCCCACAUCUCACCCUGAACCAGCGUCGUCUAAAGGUUGUGGUGUCAAACCAGUGUGAACAGUAAAAACCGAAACUUAGACUUCUAACGAAACACUCAAUACACUCCGCACAAGACCACCGCCGGCAGUUAGAUCUCCUACAGAAGGACAUAUCACCCAACUUCACACCGUCAACGGGCCUGUUCUUCUUCGAACAGUCCAUGGGGACCUGACUUACCGUCUCCUAGAGGGACUUACUCUCUGAGUUGCGACCCUAGCUCAGCCAACGGUAUAACGUGAUACCACUUUACACCGGACCAGUAGAUCGUUUUUACCUCGUGGGUUUCACGAGUUACGAGUUCCGUUUUUUCCCAAAACGACGCACUCCGAUUUUCCACGACUAAAAUGUCAUCAGCUUCACAACAAUAGAAACCAACUCUCGAACAAAGUCAUAAAAAAAACAUGGAGAUUUUACCAUGAUGAUGCAUACCUCCUAUCAUAUCUGAACAACGAUACAACCAAUACCAGAUUUUAAUUGGUCUUUAAACUACAAUGAAUUACGCUUUGACGAUCAGCUCUAAGGUUUG
Molecule: ribosomal RNA, 2239 nt
Filed under: Triticum aestivum (bread wheat)
Lineage: Eukaryota; Viridiplantae; Streptophyta; Magnoliopsida; Poales; Poaceae
Description: partial small subunit ribosomal RNA
Source: RNAcentral